RNAcentral lists this transfer RNA (178 nucleotides) under Microcaldota archaeon. RNAcentral describes it as "tRNA-Leu". The record is from RNAcentral. Lineage: Archaea; Nanobdellati; Microcaldota.
GCAGGAGUGGCAGAGCCUGGAAAAUGCGGGGGCCUUAAGAGCCCCUCCCUCAGGGGUUCGCCGGUCCAAACAAACCUUUUCUUUCUUUGCUCGUCGGCGUUGCGACGCCUCCUCGUCAAAGAAAGAAAAGCUUUGAUGGAAAAGAAAGAAACGGUUUUAGGGAAUCCGGCCUCCUGCA